RNAcentral lists this long non-coding RNA (553 nucleotides) under Linum usitatissimum (flax). RNAcentral's name for it is "long non-coding RNA (LUSI_LNC006905)". Lineage: Eukaryota; Viridiplantae; Streptophyta; Magnoliopsida; Malpighiales; Linaceae. The record is from RNAcentral.
UGGAGAACGAGAGGGUUAUGAUGGAGAGGAGGUGGAUGGAAAGGGAAGAGCAGAGGAGGGUUAGAGAGGAAGCUCGUGCUGAGAAGAGGGAUGCCCUCAUCACUGCUUUGCUCAACAAGCUCGACAGAGACGACGGCGGCGGCGGCACUUAGUUGUUUUGUAGAGGUAAAUUUGUAUCAUCAGAAUUAAGUAGUAGCUCUUUCAAUUUAUCUUAUGCUGUAGGUGGGAUUUUUUAGAGCGAGAGAGGGAGUAUUAGCAUAUGGUAAUUAGGAACAUGAUGAUCGACCAAUGUUGAUUUUAUUUUUGAAUCUAUUGGGUUUAGGGGUAAAUGAUCUAAUGAAAACAUAUGGACAAUUUUUUCAUCUCUAUGGUCUUGACUCUAGAGUUGAUAUAUAACGUUUGAUUGUUGGACCGGUUUUAAAGAAUAUGAUGUAUAAUUUGAACAUGCUUUAUUGUGUAUAUAUUAGGCUAGAAAGGAGCGUAAUUACAUACUUUGUAGAAUCUUAGUUUUUGUAUGAUAUUGUUUAUGAAGAACAUAAUCGGUAUAUAUAUA